RNAcentral lists this long non-coding RNA (790 nucleotides) under Danio rerio (zebrafish). Its description in RNAcentral is "si:dkey-117a16.1 (ENSDARG00000101275.2)". Lineage: Eukaryota; Metazoa; Chordata; Actinopteri; Cypriniformes; Danionidae. The record is from RNAcentral.
AUUCUUGUGUCUUUCAGCCUGUUUCUGCCUAUCACCAUGAGUGAUUCCUCAAUACUCAGAUUUAUCAUCAAGAUCUCAAUUAUAAGCUCAAGUUUUGAUGACAACUUGGUGAUCUGCAGAAAGCACCACCAUGUAAGGAAGGCCAAGACCACUCUGGAAUCAGUCAAGGCUCAUAGAAACUCCAAUCUUCCCAACUGUGAGAGGGCCUUGCUCCAGUGACUGUUGGAUUGCAGUGACCAGACAUGCUACUGUAACUCUCAUGGUCAUGUGCUGGAAUUAGCAGAUGUUCAACAAUUUGGCCAUCUCGCUGACCUGUUGAUAUCAGAAGACCCCAACAGCUCUGCAAAGCAAGUUGCAAAACAGAAUCCAUGAAACUGGCAGUGACUGGAAACCAAUUGGAAGACUUUGGUCUGUGAUGUAGAGGAGUGGGCAGAGGCAGAAGCAAAGACAACAAAAAGAAGAAGUGAUGUGGAUGUCUUCGUCAUAUUGCAUGACUCUGCUGACCCAGCAACAAAGAGGAGGGUGUUCAACAUCAUCCUGCUAGUCAGGAUUCUUCAGGAGAAGCAGUGGAUUCUUGUGGCAGAGAUGGUCAACCACUAUAAAUACCUUUCAACUCAUCCUGGUUCUUUCAAAGAACUUUCUUGCUUGUUUGCUACUGAAAUAUUCGACAUGUGGCCUUAACGAAGAGGGGUUAAAAGGUCUAUGGAUCAUCAUUCUCAAAAAGCAACAAAAUAACUGAGAAAUAAACAACAAUACGAUGGUGCAAUCUAGAGACCUGCAAGGUACCUGC